GCAAAGUAAGAUCUACAAAUAAGUCAACAUGACCAAAAUGGUCAGUUGAUCACUUUAGGAGUUAUUGCCCUUUAUAGUCAAUUUUUAACCAUUUUUCGUAAAUCUUAGUAAUCUUUUACAAAAAUCUUCUCCUCUGAAACUACUGGGCCAAAUUUAACCAAACUUGGCCAUAAUCAUCAUUGGGGUAUCUAGUUUAAAAAUGUGUCCGGUGACCCGUCCAACCAACCAAGAUGGCCGCCAUGGCUAAAAAUAGAACAUAGUGGUAAAAUGCAGUUUUUGGCUUAUAACUCAAAAACCAAAGCAUUUAGAGCAAAUCUGACAUGAAUAAUAUUGUUCAUCAGGUCAAGAUCUAUCUGCCCUGAAAUUUUCAGAUGAAUCAGACAUUUCGUUG
Molecule: long non-coding RNA, 391 nt
Filed under: Mytilus galloprovincialis (Mediterranean mussel)
Lineage: Eukaryota; Metazoa; Mollusca; Bivalvia; Mytilida; Mytilidae
Source: RNAcentral